This is a non-coding RNA of Paramuricea clavata, 229 nucleotides long. Lineage: Eukaryota; Metazoa; Cnidaria; Anthozoa; Malacalcyonacea; Plexauridae. The record is from the annotation of a GenBank genome assembly.
AGUCGUUCAGGUGCUGGACAACAAUGUUGUUAUAAUGGUGAUUCAUUAAUAGUAGGCCCUCCUGGCGGUGGUUCAUUUGAUAUAGCAUCUCCUGUCGAAAACUUCUGGAGUCACAUGGGACAAGAUGUUAUACCGUGGUGGGCUUGUUGUAAGUUUUCUGAUAGCUGUUAUAAAUAUUAUCAAAGACGACCUUCCGAUGAUGGCUCACGAUACGUACCACCGCCAAUUG